AAAAUAGGGCAGGCUACCCAUGCAAGUCGAGGGGCAACAUUGUGCUUGCACAGAUGACGACCGGCGCACGGGUGCGUAACGCGUAUAGAAUCUACCUUUUGUUGCUGGAUAGCCCAUAGAAAUUUGGAUUACUACUGCAUAGUAUACACUAUUUUCCUGAGUUAUGUAUUAAAGGUUACGGCAUUAGAUGACCAUGCGUCCCAUUAGUUCGUUGGUAAGGUAACGGCUUACCAAGACAGCGAUAGGUCGGGGCUCUGUGAGGGGGAUCCCCCACAUUGGUACUGAGACACGGUCCAGAUCUAUACGGGAGGCAGCAGUGAGGAAUAUUGGACAAUGGAGGCAACUCUGAUCCAGCCAUGCCGCGUGCAGGAUGACUGCCCUAUGGGUUGUAAACUGCUUUUAUACAGGAAGAAACAUCUCUACGUGUAGAGACUUGACGGUACUGUAAGAAUAAGGAUCGGCUAACUCCGUGCCAGCAGCCGCGGUAAUACGGAGGAUCCAAGCGUUAUCCGGAAUCAUUGGGUUUAAAGGGUCCGUAGGUGGAUAAUUAAGUCAGAGGUGAAAGUUUGCAGCUCAACUGUAAAAUUGCCUUUGAUACUGGUUAUCUUGAAUCAUUAUGAAGUAGUUAGAAUAUGUAGUGUAGCGGUGAAAUGCAUAGAUAUUACAUAGAAUACCAAUUGCGAAGGCAGAUUACUAAUAAUGUAUUGACACUGAUGGACGAAAGCGUGGGGAGCGAACAGGAUUAGAUACCCUGGUAGUCCACGCCGUAACGAUGGAUACUAGCUGUUCGGAACUUGUUUCUGAGUGGCUAAGCGAAAGUGAUAAGUAUCCCACCUGGGGAGUACGUUCGCAAGAAUGAAACUCAAGGAAUUGACGGGGGCCCGCACAAGCGUGGAGCAUGUGGUUUAAUUCGAUGAUACGCGAGGAACCUUACCACGGCUUAAAUGUAGAUUGACAGGACUAGAGAUAGUUUUUUUCUUCUGACAUUUACAGGUGCUGCAUGUUGUCAGUCAGCUCGUGCUCUUGAGGUGUCAAGAUAGUCCUAUAACGAGCGCAAGCCCCUGCUCGCUAAGUGCCAGCGAGGUCAGGUCAGAACUUCUACCAGACGCCAAUCAACCUGUGAAGCAACGUUGGGAUGACGUCGAUGCAUGCACGACUUACGUCUGGCCUACCACGUCCGCGAGUCCUAGUACGAGGACGGCCAUGCAUCAGAUACGACUCUAUUGACCCGGUACGCAGCUG
Molecule: ribosomal RNA, 1242 nt
Filed under: Algibacter sp.
Lineage: Bacteria; Pseudomonadati; Bacteroidota; Flavobacteriia; Flavobacteriales; Flavobacteriaceae
Description: bacterial SSU rRNA
Rfam family: Bacterial small subunit ribosomal RNA
Source: RNAcentral